Vigna umbellata (rice bean) is the source of this 584-nucleotide non-coding RNA. The record is from RefSeq and is a predicted model, not a curated record. NCBI's taxonomy places the organism in Eukaryota, Viridiplantae, Streptophyta, Magnoliopsida, Fabales, Fabaceae.
AACUGUUUGACUAGUGAUCUUAUUAUAUAUAUAGUUGAAAAGAAGGUGAUUGAAAUUUUUAGUUACUUAAGUAAGAUCUCACUUGAAUAACUUUUUAUUAUAAAUGAUUUUCUUGCACACAUAACAAUUCAUAAUGUGACAUUGACUACUGCUUCUGGACAUCUCAGGCUAUUGAAGAUUUGACUAAGGCUUUAGAGUUUGAAACCAACUCAGCAGAUAUUUUACAUGAGAGAGGAAUUGUGAAUUUCAAAUUUAAAGAGUUUAAUGCUGCCGUCGAAGACCUUUCAGCUUGUGUGCAACUAGACAGGGAUAAUAAGUCUGCCUACACAUAUUUGGGUUUAGCAUUAUCUUCAAUUGGUGAAUAUAAGAAAGUUGAGGAUGCACAUCUAAAAUCACUUCAAAUUGAUAGAAAUUUUCUUGAAGCAUGGGCACACUUGACUCAGGUAUCUAUCAACCUUAUUGUACUGAUAGAUUGUUGGAACAUUUAGUUAUUAACUUAGCUGAAAGCUUUUUCUGAAAAUCCUGAGUCAUCUGUGUGCAUAUUAUUUUAUGGUUUGAAAUGUAAUCUAUUGUAUCAAUGGAUU